RNAcentral lists this ribosomal RNA (770 nucleotides) under Ufensia minuta. RNAcentral's name for it is "SSU rRNA". It matches the Rfam family "Eukaryotic small subunit ribosomal RNA", at positions 477 to 1206 of the family's 1831-position model. Lineage: Eukaryota; Metazoa; Arthropoda; Insecta; Hymenoptera; Trichogrammatidae. The record is from RNAcentral.
UAACGAUACGGGACUCAUCCGAGGCCCCGUAAUCGGAAUGAGUACACUUUAAAUCCUUUAACGAGGACCCAUUGGAGGGCAAGUCUGGUGCCAGCAGCCGCGGUAAUUCCAGCUCCAAUAGCGUAUAUUAAAGUUGUUGCGGUUAAAAAGCUCGUAGUUGAAUCUGUGUGCCACGCUGUUGGUUCAUCGCUCGCGAUGUUUAACUGACAUGUUUGUGGGACGUCCUACCGGUGGAUUUAGCUCCUCACGGGGCGGUCCAGCUAAUAUCCCAUCGCGGUGCUCUUAAACGAGUGUCGAGGUGGGCCGGUACGUUUACUUUGAACAAAUUAGAGUGCUCAAAGCAGGCUAUGUUCGCCUGAAUAUUUUUUGCAUGGAAUAAUGGAAUAGGACCUCGGUUCUAUUUUGUUGGUUUUCGGAACCCCGAGGUAAUGAUUAAUAGGGACAGAUGGGGGCAUUCGUAUUGCGACGUUAGAGGUGAAAUUCUUGGAUCGUCGCAAGACGGACAGAAGCGAAAGCAUUUGCCAAAAAUGUUUUCAUUAAUCAAGAACGAAAGUUAGAGGUUCGAAGGCGAUCAGAUACCGCCCUAGUUCUAACCAUAAACGAUGCCAGCUAGCGAUCCGCCGAAGUUCCUCCGAUGACUCGGCGGGCAGCUUCCGGGAAACCAAAGCUUUUGGGUUCCGGGGGAAGUAUGGUUGCAAAGCUGAAACUUAAAGGAAUUGACGGAAGGGCACCACCAGGAGUGGAGCCUGCGGCUUAAUUUGACUCAACAC